GUGUUGUAUGAAAGGAGAAGGUUUGCACUGCCCUUGCCAAGGGUGGAAGAGGCCCUCGGGCCUGACAACGCACAUACAGUUAAGGCACUGCCUUAACCUUAGUUUCCAGACAUCUAACCAAAUGACAUA
Molecule: small nuclear RNA, 129 nt
Organism: Heterocephalus glaber (naked mole-rat)
Lineage: Eukaryota; Metazoa; Chordata; Mammalia; Rodentia; Bathyergidae
Source: Ensembl